This 214-nucleotide non-coding RNA is filed under the name Sporanaerobacter acetigenes. Its description in RNAcentral is "T-box sequence". It matches the Rfam family "T-box leader". Rfam says of the family: Uncharged tRNA acts as the effector for transcription antitermination of genes in the T-box leader family. The record is from RNAcentral. Lineage: Bacteria; Bacillati; Bacillota; Tissierellia; Tissierellales; Sporanaerobacteraceae.
UAUAUUGCAUUGAAGGGAAAUAGUAAAUAUGAAUGGUCAAAAGAGAGGAAAUCAUAAGGUGAGAGAUUUCUGGCCCUCUUUACAUUGAACCCGUCCCUGAGUUUUUAGAUUGAAAAGAAGUAGGUCUAAACGGUAGUUCCGUUAUAACUUUCGAGUGGAUUUAUUAUUUUAAAUCUAUUAGAGUGGUACCGCGAAGAAUACCUUCGUCUCUAUU